AUUAGAUACCCUGGUAGUCCACGCCGUAAACUAUGGAUGCUAGCUGUUAUUCGUAUCGACCCGAGUAGUAGCGAAGCUAACGCGUUAAGCAUCCCGCCUGUGGAGUACGGUCGCAAGACUAAAACAUAAAGGAAUUGACGGGGACCCGCACAAGCGGUGGAGCGUGUUGUUUAAUUCGAUGGUAAGCGAAGAACCUUACCCAGACUUGACAUCCUUGGAAGCACUGCGAAAGCAGAGUGUGCCUCCGGGAACCAAGUGACAGGUGUUGCAUGGCCGUCGUCAGCUCGUGUCGUGAGAUGUUUGGUUAAGUCCAUCAACGAGCGCAACCCUUGUGGCUAGUUGAAUUUUUCUAGUCAGACUGCCCUGGUAACAGGGAGGAAGGAGGGGAUGAUGUCAGGUCAGUAUUACCCUUACGUCUGGGGCUACAAACACGCUACAAUGGCCGGUACAAAGGGCUGCCAAGUCGCGAGACGGAGCAAAUCCCAUCAAAACCGGUCCCAGUUCGGAUUGCAGGCUGAAACUCGCCUGCAUGAAGUCGGAAUCGCUAGUAACGGUAGGUCAGCACACUACCGUGAAUACGUUCCCGGGUCUUGUACACACCGCCCGUCAAACCAUGAAAGUCGCCAAUACCUGACGUCUUAGCUAGUCUAGGCCUAAGGUAGGGGAGAUGAUUGGGGUUAAGUCGUAACAAGGUAAC
Molecule: ribosomal RNA, 697 nt
Filed under: uncultured Candidatus Saccharibacteria bacterium
Lineage: Bacteria; Candidatus Saccharimonadota
Description: bacterial SSU rRNA
Rfam family: Bacterial small subunit ribosomal RNA
Source: RNAcentral